This 253-nucleotide ribosomal RNA is filed under the name uncultured bacterium. Its description in RNAcentral is "partial 16S ribosomal RNA". It matches the Rfam family "Bacterial small subunit ribosomal RNA", at positions 524 to 776 of the family's 1533-position model. RNAcentral also lists the same sequence under 1 other name. The record is from RNAcentral.
UACAGAGGGUGCAAGCGUUAAUCGGAAUGACUGGGCGUAAAGCGUGUGUAGGUGGUUGGAUAAGUUAGAUGUGAAAUCCCCGGGCUCAACCUGGGAACUGCGUUUAAAACUGUUCAACUAGAGUACUGUAGAGGGUAGUGGAAUUUCCAGUGUAGCGGUGAAAUGCGUAGAUAUUGGAAGGAACACCAGUGGCGAAGGCGACUACCUGGACAGAUACUGACACUGAGACACGAAAGCGUGGGGAGCAAACAGG